This 498-nucleotide ribosomal RNA is filed under the name uncultured bacterium. RNAcentral describes it as "partial 16S ribosomal RNA". It matches the Rfam family "Bacterial small subunit ribosomal RNA", at positions 30 to 523 of the family's 1533-position model. The record is from RNAcentral.
AUUGAACGCUGGCGGCAUGCCUUACACAUGCAAGUCGAACGGUAACAGGUCUUCGGACGCUGACGAGUGGCGAACGGGUGAGUAAUACAUCGGAACGUGCCCAGUCGUGGGGGAUAACUACUCGAAAGAGUAGCUAAUACCGCAUACGAUCUGAGGAUGAAAGCGGGGGACCUUCGGGCCUCGCGCGAUUGGAGGGGCCGAUGGCAGAUUAGGUAAUUGGUGGGAUAAAAGCUUACCAAGCCGACGAUCUGUAGCUGGUCUGAGAGGACGACCAGCCACACUGGGACUGAGACACGGCCCAGACUCCUACGGGAGGCAGCAGUGGGGAAUUUUGGACAAUGGGCGAAAGCCUGAUCCAGCAAUGCCGCGUGCAGGAUGAAGGCCUUCGGGUUGUAAACUGCUUAUGUACGGAACGAAAAAGCUUCUCCUAAUACGAGAGGCCCAUGACGGUACCGUAAGAAUAAGCACCGGCUAACUACGUGCCAGCCGCCGCUGUAA